This is an RNA transcript of Panicum virgatum (switchgrass), 2314 nucleotides long. It is a transcript of the gene named ricin B-like lectin R40C1, with no coding region annotated. The transcript is spliced from 6 exons. The record is from RefSeq and is a predicted model, not a curated record. NCBI's taxonomy places the organism in Eukaryota, Viridiplantae, Streptophyta, Magnoliopsida, Poales, Poaceae.
CCAAAAUACUCAUGUCCGCCGACCUUUUUACCUCGGAUUCUUAUUCCCUUUACAUAUACACCGCUCCAGGUCCAGCAAAACCUCUCCAGGAAAAGAUUUGGGAGAGAUGUUCGGCUACUUCGGCCGGAAUCCGCAGGGCUCUCCGCCCACCUUCAAGAUCUUCUGCAAGGCUGAUGAGGGGUCCUGCCUCGCCGUCCGUGACGGCACCCUCGUCCUCACCGCCGCCGACCCCGGCGACGAGCACCAACACUGGGUGAAGGAUGUUCGCCUUAGCAUGCACAUCAAGGAUAAGGAGGGCAACCCCGUCUUCUCGCUCGUCAACAAGGCAACUGGCCUCGCCAUCCAACAUCCCUAUGGCCCUUCCUACCCGGUGAGGCUGACGCAAUUUUGCCCGGACGAUUUCGUCCAGUCGGUGUUGUGGACGGAGAGCGGCGACUUGUGCAAGGACUUCGGCUGCAUCCGCAUGAUGCAUAACAUCCGCCUCAACUUGGACGCCGUCCACGGGGGAACUGCUCUUGUACUCUCGGAUCCGGACAAGAGCGACUUCCAGAGCUGGAAGAUGACCCCCUGGAAUGGUGAGACGCCCUACGGCUGGCAUCCCGAGGCCGAGCCCACGGUACGCAUCUGCUGCAAGGCUGCAGAGGGCUUGAGCGUCACAAUCCGCAACGGCGCCGUCUGCCUCGCUCCAACCCGCCGCGACGACUGGUUCCAGCAUUGGGUUAAAGACAGACGGCCCGGAGAGAUGUUCAAGGACGAGGAUGGCUACCCCGCCUUUGCCCUCGUCAACAGCAUCACAGGCGAGGCCAUCUCGGGCUCCGCAGGCUUGGGCCCGAAAAGGACUAUAGCUCCCCACCCGCGCCGUCGGGAUGCGCUCGGAUGGGCAAAUUUUCCCGAUGGGGAGCGCAUUCAGCAUCGCCGAGCUUGCCGUGCUCCCAUGGUUCCCGGUGCCGCCGGGGAGAGGUACCGCUGACAUCGAGGAGGUCGCCGGUCGCCUGCCCCUUCGUAAGGGGCCGCGAGUCGAUGAGAGGCCGAGUGCUUUUUUGUCGGUCUGCUUUGCGUUGCUAUCUUUCUGAUAGAAGGGCAACACUAUAACUUCAUAUUGGAAAAAAAAGUAACGAUGAAGGUAACGGAAGCCAACGGAAUGGGUUGAGGCAUAGGAAAUUUGGAGGCAAAAUUCCUGUUCACCUGAUUUCGAAAUCAAACAUCCAUCAGACCUCUUUUUCUGUCACUAAUGUAGGACCAAGGAAAAACACAGAAAUCAUGGAAAGAAAUCAGAAAAAAAUGAAAGCAUAGAGAACAAAAGAUGAAAAGAGUGAUGUAGCAGAUGCGCACGGGCGAGGGGAAGGGAAGUGUCAAGUCUCAAUGGAGUACAAAAAGGAACAGAACAGAAACCUCUUCACUCGGGGAACAUGAUGGUGCCAGAUUGGCAGUAUUUUGCAUGGAGUACUGAAGACCUGCUGCUGCUUGAGCUUGCUAGCUGACUGCUGCUGCUCGAGCUUGCAAGCUGGCCGCUGCCCUCCUGUCAUUCCAAAUCGCAUGGCUAGCCUCUUGCACCUCUGUGCCGCACUGCCUGCCACCCCAUCCAUUGAUCUCACACUGCUGGCUGUGCACUCCCCUAACAUCGCUUGAUAUUACACAGUCAGUCGCUCACAUAAGUACCGAAGUGUAGCUCUAGGGAGAGAGAAGCUAGAUGGCUGAAAACGAUCUGGAUAGAGAUAGGAAAAGGAUAAAGAUCAAUGCUUUGCUGGUCCAUCUUCAAGUAACCUUAUUUGAAGAAAUCAUAAGAAAUAGAUUUGUUUUGUUUAACCAAGUUGAAGCUUAAGCCGUAUAACCCAAAUUACCUGGACGGGUCUGUGUUAUGGACGACGGACUUGGACAAAGGGAAUGGCUUCCGAUGCAUUCACAUGAUGGACAACUUCUCCCUCAACUUCGAGGCCCGCCUCAGUGCCGGGGAGGUCGUGCUGUCGCGUUGGGACACUGCAGACGAGCAGCACUGGAAGUUCAUCAGCUGGUAAAAGUACUGCGCUGGAGGCUGGAGCUGCAUUGGACCUUAUCUAGAGUAAGAGAUCAAUCUGCUGUCUGCUGCCGUGUCGAUAGAAGGAUGUUGCGUAUGAUUUGUGGUGAUAAUGCGUCUGUGUGUUAGUCCAGUUAUUAUGUGUCCUGAUUCUAUAAGACGAGUUUGGCCACCGGUUAGCUAUCUAAAUGAGCACCCUGCAUUUCAUCUGCUACACUUACGAAUAAUUAGAGCAGAUUGUGUGUAAUGUACUGGGAUCGUCUUAAGCGGUCAUCUAUCAGAAGUUCAACGUGGGCACCA